AUAAACGCACGCGAGCUGACAAAGUAAGUUAACGCGCUUUCAGAAAUGUUCACUUGAAUCACAGCAGGAAGAAAAUCCAUCGACGAUUGGCGUCUGAUUCGCUCUAAAAAGUAAUGUUUGUUCAGAUAUCCUGAGUAGCUGUUAUUCAACAUAAACACAUUUCCGCACACAUGAAGAUGGAUGACGAUAGUUCAUCUUAAAAUGAAACUUAUGUUUAUCAGCUUACCCCCAGGCCAUCCAAGAGAUGCUCUUAAGAACAACGCCCUGAUGUCCAAGGUCAACCAGCAAGAAGCUGAGAAGGCACUGCCAAAAUGGUUUACUGGGGCAAGGGACAGAGGAGGACAGAGAGCAUCAAGAAUGCAGAAAAGGAUGUCUGUUUGAGAAAGGUUAAAACUACAGUUGUUGAUUUGAACUGUUGUAGUUCUUUAAUUUUUCUUAAAGGAAAACACAAUCAUUUUUCAAUAUUUACCAUGUUCUUCCCUCAACUUAGAUGAAUUAAUACAAACCUCUCUUUUCUCAAUGUGUGCACUUAAAGGUGGGGUGCACAAUUUCUAAAAAAAAAACGUUUUGGAAAAGGGAGACAGGCCGACUAUCAAAACA
Misgurnus anguillicaudatus (oriental weatherfish) is the source of this 600-nucleotide non-coding RNA. The record is from RefSeq and is a predicted model, not a curated record. NCBI's taxonomy places the organism in Eukaryota, Metazoa, Chordata, Actinopteri, Cypriniformes, Cobitidae.